CCAUCAUCCCCCCACCAUCACCUUCUCUACAAAACUCUCAGGAAUUACAUCACAAUCCCACAAUGCUUUGCUGAGCGUGCUGCAGUGAGUUAGCAUUUAGAGAGUUGGUGAAAGGAGAGGAAGGACCGAGAGUGGACGAAAGAGUGAGUGUUUACACAGCGAACUGAUGAAUGAUGUUGGGAGUGGACAAAGUGAUGUUGCUUUAUUGAGGACCCCGAGAGAGGUGCUGACUGAGACAGUGUGGGAGGUCUUUGAUCGAGUGUUAGGAUGGCCACUGAAGCUUCUACCCUCCCCAGCCCUGUGGUACGUCAGAUCGACAAACAAUUCCUGAUUUGCAGCAUCUGUCUGGAUCGGUACAACAACCCCAAAGUCCUCCCCUGUCUCCACACCUUCUGUGAAAGGUGUCUACAGAACUACAUACCUGCCCACAGUUUGACUCUGUCCUGCCCAGUGUGCCGUCAGACCUCCAUCCUGCCAGAGAAGGGUGUGGCGGCACUCCAGAGCAACUUUUUCAUCACCAACCUGAUGGAGGUGCUAAAGAGAAGCCCAGACACUAACCUCAGCGAGGACUGCACAGAGACUAUCAACGGAGUGACCACUGGACAACCACUUUCUUGUCCCAAUCAUGGAGGAAACGUAAUGGAGUUCUACUGUCCACCAUGUGAGACAGCCAUGUGUGAGGAGUGCACCUGUGGAGAACAUGCAAAACAUGCUACGGUCCCACUCAAAGAUGUUCUCGAACAACACAAGGCCUCCCUGCAAGAGCAGCUGGAUUCCGUCAAAAACAGACUUCCAGAAAUUGACUCUGCACUUCAGGUUUUGUCUGAGAUUCUGCAGCAGCUGACCAACAAGAAAAGUUCAAUAGAAGAAAUAAUUCAUGCUACUUUUGAAGAACUUCAGAAGACCCUCAACGUACGCAAGAGUGUUCUUCUUAUGGAGCUUGAGGUCAACUAUGGACUCAAACAGAAGGUGUUGCAGAUGCAGUUGGAGUCAUUGCUGCAGGGGCAGGAGAGCAUGCGCACCAGCUGCAGUUUUACAGAGCAGACUCUUAACCAUGGCUCUGAAGCUGAAGUCCUGUUAGUGAAGAAGCAGAUGAGCGAGCGUCUUGAUGAGCUGGCCAAUCAGGUGCUCCCACUUCAGCCAGAAGAGAACAACCAGCUGGACUUCUUGGUAGAGACCGAAGGCCUUCGUAAAUCCAUCCACAACCUUGGUGCUAUAGUAACCACCAAUGCUAUCGCUGCUGAAACGGUUGCCACCGGUGAUGGAAUGAGACACUGUGUCGUCGGGCAGCCCACCUCUGUUACCAUAACGACGAAAGACAGAGAUGGCAGUCUGUGUCGGGCAGGAAACGCUUUGCUCACAGCUGACCUUUCUGCUUCUGAUGGCACCAUAGUGGCAGCAAGUGAAGUCAUUGAUCAUAAAAAUGGCACUUAUGAGUUUGUAUACAUGGUACCCUGUGAGGGCCACUUUACCCUCUCCUUAAAACUGUAUGAUCAGCACAUUAGGGGAAGUCCAUUCAGCAUACGUGCCAACAAAUUGGCAGACAUCUCCCUAUCUGCAGACGGAGACAAGAGACAUCUCAAAUCUCCAGGAAGCAGCCAUGUGAGACAGCGAGCCGUCAAGCGGCCUGCCAGCAUGUAUAGUAGUGGCAAACGGAAAGAAAACCCAAUUGAAGAUGACCUCAUGUUCAGGAUCGGAACAAAAGGCAGAAAUAAGGGUGAAUUUACUAAUCUGCAGGGAGUGGCUGCUUCUGCUGGAAAGGUCUUAAUAGCGGAUAGUAACAAUCAGUGUGUUCAGAUAUUUUCAAAUGAUGGGCACUUUAAGAGUCGCUUUGGAGUGAGAGGCCGAUCCCCAGGACAGCUUCAACGGCCCACUGGUGUUGCUGUGCACCCCAAUGGUGAAAUCAUCAUUGCCGACUAUGAUAACAAAUGGGUCAGUAUGUUCUCCAGUGAUGGCAAGUAUAAGACUAAAAUUGGCUCAGGGAAGCUGAUGGGUCCAAAGGGUGUAUCAGUAGACAGAAAUGGUCACAUUAUUGUUGUUGACAAUAAAGCUUGCUGCGUCUUAAUUUUUCAAGCUAAUGGAAAACUUGUCUCCAAAUUUGGCAACCGAGGCAACGGUGACAAGCAAUUUGCAGGUAUAUUCAUCCUCUGCAGUACAAUUAAAGGAGUCAUGAAUUAAGACUGAAUUAAGAAUAAAUUUUAACCCGGGCUUUUGUUAUACAAGAGGGAAUCGUAUUCCAGCGAACAUCCUUUAAGUGUCAGAACUGAAAACGCCCUUGUUACUGAAAUUACAACUGUUAUUGACACCAGGCCCAGUGAACGCCAGGUCCUGGAAUGCACCUAAUAGGUUGAACACCGCCUCCAUAGAAGAAUAUCAACAACUACAUUUCUAGCCCCGCCCACUGGUUCGUGCAUGACAGUACUGAAGUAACACAAGUUGCGCGGAACCAGAUAGAGCGAGCAAGCAAUAAACAUGCCGGUAAAGAUAGCAAAAUAUUGUGCAGUCAGUACGUGGCUGUGGAAGAACACAGUUGCUGCAUAACCUUCCUUCGGAUUCUGACAUUAGUAAUGCGUGGUAGAAGUUUAUUUUUAGAGAUGUUCCAGCUCACGUGGGUAAAACAUUGAGCGUUUGUUUACUUCAUUUCACCGCGGAUUCCUUUGUGAACAAGGCACAGGUCGAAGCUGGAUUUGCGGAGAGACUAAAAUUAAAAAGCAGUGCUGUGCCGUCAAUAUUGGUUGCGAUAGGAAUGGCGCAGCAAUCUUAUGUGAGUAAAACAUUUUUGUACUAUGCGUCACUAUUGCUUUGUUAAAGAUCGCUUGAUAUGCCCUGAUAGCCCUAUUCGCACAGGAUUAGUUUUACCUGGGGGCCUCUAGUCAUUUGUAAUAAUUGCAGAGGUUGUCUGUGAUCUUAAUCCCGUGCGAAUUGGCCAUGUCUGUAAUUUGUAAAGUAAAAAUUCCCCCACAAAUUACCUACCAUAUUUUGACGAACACCGAGGUCCUGUGAUAAUAUUAGUCCUGUGCAAAUCGGCAUCUCUGUGAUUUGGCGGGCUCAUAUAUCAUUUUUCAAGGUUUUGUCCACCGUUUGUGUAUAAUGGAGGCUGUUUUGAAGUGUUUUGAUAUUAUAUCGGGUGCUGGGUCAUAUCCAUAAGUUACCUGCCAACACUGUCGUUUUGGCCGGGAGUCUCCCGUUUGUUUAUUUAUCAUGGAAACUCUCGUCACGUUUGAGACCCGCGAUCAUGUGAUCUUCUGUCCGGUUCGCGAUCACGGGUCUCAAAUGCUGACAGGUACAGUCAUAUAUCAUUAAACAUCAUACAACUAUAGGCAAUACAAACUAUACGCAAAGCCUUGCAAUCAAAUCUGGGAAAUAAGUCAGUAAAUUUGAGUAAAAUCACAGGCUUCACUUAUCCCGUGCGAAUGCGCCACAUGAAAUACAGAUGUGGGGAGGUCAUUUCUAAAUCACACGAGGCCUCCAGAUAAUACUAAUCCUGUGCGAAUAGGGCGAAUGUGUAACCUAACGUUACGUGUCUAAACAAAUUCACAGAAGGCUCCAACUAAGUUUACUACGCAAACUUCUAUCCAAUCAUAGCAGUGGCCAUUUACUUCCAAGUCUUCAAUAAGGCACGCCCAUUAAAACCGAGCGUUUGUCGAGCCAGCCUCAAAACCCGGGUAGAAAAUAGCCUAUUACUUAUUGAUUUUGAUGUUUUUUAAUGUAAAAACCACGCAAACGUCAUAAGUAGACCUCAUACAACAGUAUAAAACAAUAAACAAGGCCAGUUCAUUCACCUUUAAGUAAAUUACCCAUCUUUUAUGUGUAUUCUGUAAUGCUGCUUGUUUUCACCAAGUUGACAUUCAUUUAAAUAUAAAUUUCUUAACUGAAUUAGUUGCAAUAUUUAUUUAUGCACUAAGUAUCAGUCUUGUAGCCUUGGCAGUGAUUUAUGAGCUUCUUGAGAAACUGAGACCAAAGACGCAUAUGGAGAUUAUCUUUGAUGCAUCAAUGCUUAAUGAAUCAAGCAUUUAAUCGGGUUCUUAUACACUUUAAUGGACUAAUGAUGCACAAUACCCAGAUAGCACAGUUAUGUCUGUAAGAUGUCUGCUAAAGAUCUGGAAAACAUCUGCUGUGUAAAAACAUCUGAUAAACGUCUUAGAAAGGCAGUUUCAAAUACAUUCUAAAUAAACAUCUUACAUUUAUGCAAUUGGCAGACGCUUUUAUCCAAAGCGACUUACAUUGCAUUAUUCUUUAUAUUUUUUUGUAUCUGUGUAGGUCUGUAAGACAUUAUAAGCAAAAUACAUUUUGCAGAUAUGUAAAUGCAUGUAAGACAUCAAAUAGACAUCUUCCAGAUGAAUGUUUUCUAUCAGGGUAAGAAUGUGUAGUCAGAAGUCGGUUUGUGGAAUAUUUCUGAAACUGCACAUGAAGAUAUAGUAAAGUAAUCUUAUGAAUUUACAACCAAGUCUUAUUUUGUGAAUCUCACAUUCAGCCACUAAUGAUUUACAACCUACAGUAUAACGUUUCUCAUUAUAAUUUUUUUUCUUUUUAUAGGACCUCAUUUUGCUGCAGUCAAUCAAAAUAAUGAAAUAAUUGUGACGGACUUUCAUAAUCAUUCCGUUAAGGUGUUUAGUCCAGAAGGGGAGUUUCUACUGAAGUUUGGGUCAAACGGGGAAGG
Triplophysa rosa is the source of this 4660-nucleotide RNA transcript. It is a transcript of the gene named tripartite motif containing 2a, with no coding region annotated. The record is from RefSeq and is a predicted model, not a curated record. Lineage: Eukaryota; Metazoa; Chordata; Actinopteri; Cypriniformes; Nemacheilidae. The transcript is spliced from 11 exons.